UUAUGGCUCAGGAUGAACGCUGGCGGCGUGCUUAACACAUGCAAGUCGAACGAAGCACUGGCUUUGAAGUUUCGGACAGAUAAGCCUCUGACUUAGUGGCGGACGGGUGAGUAACGCGUGGGCAACCUGCCGUAUGCAGGGGGACAACAGUUGGAAACGACUGCUAAUACCGCAUAAGCGCACGGGGACGCAUGUUUCUGUGUGAAAAGCCUUAACGGCAUACGAUGGGCCCGCGUUGGAUUAGGUAGUUGGUGAGGUAACGGCCCACCAAGCCCGACGAUCCAUAGCCGACCUGAGAGGGUGACCGGCCACAUUGGGACUGAGACACGGCCCAAACUCCUACGGGAGGCAGCAGUGGGGAAUAUUGCACAAUGGGGGAAACCCUGAUGCCAGCGACGCCGCGUGAGUGAAGAAGUAUUUCGGUAUGUAAAGCUCUAUCAGCAGGGAAGAAAAUGACGGUACCUGACUAAGAAGCCCCGGCUAACUACGUGCCAGCAGCCGC
This 502-nucleotide ribosomal RNA is filed under the name uncultured bacterium. Its description in RNAcentral is "bacterial SSU rRNA". It matches the Rfam family "Bacterial small subunit ribosomal RNA", at positions 17 to 518 of the family's 1533-position model. The record is from RNAcentral.